RNAcentral lists this long non-coding RNA (23311 nucleotides) under Coffea arabica (coffee). RNAcentral describes it as "long non-coding RNA (CARA_LNC000818)". The record is from RNAcentral. Lineage: Eukaryota; Viridiplantae; Streptophyta; Magnoliopsida; Gentianales; Rubiaceae.
CAUCGUACCGCGCCGACUCCACCGAUCUUUGGUACAAGGGACAAAUGUUGAAAUGGGAGACGUAGUCGUCUAAAUAACGCAAGAACUGGUCUCUGGGCACGUAAGUCGGGUAGGUGGUCGGGAACGGCUUGAGAGGAAGUUGACAGAACUGUUUAGCCAGGUGAAGAUGAAGGCGGUCGUAGGAAUAUUUCUUCCACAAGGAAGCAAAACAAUCUUCUCUCUCAAGGACUAUGUUUGGAAUGGAAAGGUUGUUCAAGCAUGCUGCAGUUGCAAGCCCCGACGGCCCAGCUCCCACUACUAUUACCACUUGUUCUUUGGUUGCCAUGGCUUAGAGGAAUAUGGCUGGCCUUGACAAACAAGUACUACUAGUAAUGUUUAAUCUGAGUAGUAUCCAUCUAAAUCUAGAACCCCCCACCAUCACCAUCAACAUCACCAUCAACAUCAAGAUAGUUGUACGUAUUACAUCUCAUUGGGAUGAGGAUGCUUGUGAGUGCUGUAAUCAUCCAUGGCCACAAGAAAAUGAACACCUAUUUUUGUUUUUUCGGAGGCGGUGGGGAAUUGCUCGUCUCAAUUUCCAUUCGAGAAUUCCCAUUUCACCAUGCAGUCGCAUCGAGUUUCUCAUCGGCGGCUUGAAAAUAUUGUACAUUGUUGUUGUUUUCUUCUUUUCUUCCGUGUAUACUUUUACCACUUCUUCUAUGGUCACUGCUAAUUGAUUCAUUUCACAAUAUUUCUUUUGCGGUCAUGCUCAUUCUUCACUAUUAUAAAGUCUUAAUCGUAUAAGAAUACAAGUAUAAUUCUAUUGGCUAGAAGCAAACGAUUUGGUAUGACCUUAGACGUGGAAUACAUAGUAUAUACUUGCUAUCCAAACACGUUUAAACGUGGAAUACAUAGUAUACACUUGCAAGGCAUACUCAUAAUUUUGUCAUCAUAUAGUAUAUGCCAUAAUUUUGUCAUCAUAUAGUAUAUGCCAUAAUUUUGUCAUCAUAUAGUAUAAUAGGUUUGUUUGGAUAGGGUAUUAUUUGAAAUAAUUACUGUAUCAUUUUUUUGUAUGUGAGAUAAAAAGGUGAUUGGGAAUAUACAAAGAUGAAUUGAAAAAUGUAUUUAUGAUGCAAGCGAAAUAUUAUUUGGGAUAAACCUGCUAUCCAAACAAACCCAUUAUUUACUCGCCUCAGUUACCAUACUUUUGUCAUACUCAUUCAUUAUUAUAUAGUUUUAGUCGUAUAAGGGGUGAGGGAUAAAUUAGAUGGUUUAAGGAAGAGAGUGUAAGUGAGAAAUCUUUGAUUCAAAUCUUCCCACUUACACGAUUUAUAUAUAUAUAUAUAUACAUAUAUAAAACUCUUGCUUGUAUAGGAAUACAAGUAUAAUUCUAUUGGCUAGAAGGAAACGAUUUGCUAUGACCUCCUUUGAUUUGUGCAAGACAUGGCAUAUAGCUGCAAGGCAUAAUAUAGUAACAAGAGGCGUACUCGGGGAAUUUGUGGAAAACAAACGGGCCACGUUUCCCUCUACACGUGUUUGUUUGUGUUCUUUUAUUAUUUGUGUUCUUUUUGCUUCUUAAUUCAUUGACUUCAAGGUGUUGAAUGGUCUAUCAUCUCUGCUCUCGAAUUGAAGGUUAACCACAUCAUUACAGAACAUAACUACUAGUGUGUUACUACUUCCAAAUUUCUAGUAUGUUUUUCAUUUUUAUUUUUAUUUUUAUUUUUUUGAGUGCGGUCGUGUUACUAUUUAUCUUAAAAUAAGACGGGACAUUUGUUGCUUCAAUCACAAUCUUGAAAAUCCACGUAUACUAUCUCAAAACAAAAUAUUAUUUAAGCAAAUUACGUGUGAAAUCGUCCUCUACAUGUCUCAAUGAGCUGCGUUUAGUAGAAAUUUGUUGGAAGAGAUAAAGAAUUACAGCAAGAAUUUCAGGUGUCACGAGCCAACCGUCGUAGCACCAAUUUGUCUGUACGACAUCACCUGGUGCUUCGUUGGGGUGGACACGAACAUGAUGGGUAAGGUCCCCCAUCUAUUGAUGAUAAAAUUGAAAUUUGAAAUAGUUUAAAUUCGUUAAGUUAUUGCCAAGUAUUAAAUUUGAUAUAUUUAAAUAUAUAUUACAUUAAAUAAUAAAUGAAUCACUUAUCACUAAUUUUUUAGAUCAAAUUUUAAAUUGAGUACCACUUAAUUGAUUCAUAUGUUCAAUUUUUAUUAUUAAAUGUAUCUGAAAGUAUUAAAAUUUGAAUCCAUUAAUUUUAAGUAUUGAAUUGAGUUAUUAAACAAUACCUUAUUAUUUAUGCAGAAUUCAAAUUUCAUAUUUCAGAUUUCAAUUGUUGUUUUAUCCAAAGGAAAGUACUUAAAAAAAAAAAAAAAGCAAUAUAAUGGGAAAACCAGAUCCUUUCUUAACUAAGACCCAGGUAAUUACAAACUAAGCAAUAAGCAUGUCAUCAGUUUGACCUUAUAUGUUCAAGAUAUGGAUGCAGGAUGGAUCAAUCUUUAUUACAGUGUCACCGAACGGACACGAAUGCAUGUUAAAUAUACAGGAAGUAGGAACUGAAAUUUAAUUUCAUAAUAGAAGGAAGAAAUAUGCAUCUAGGUCGCUAAUAUACAGACCCGGCAUGUGUGUCAUAAUCUUAGCCUGAUGGAUCAUUGUCAGGAAUCCUGCAAUUGGUGAUUAAACUUGUGAAAUCGCUUGAACAUCAUAAUAAUGUCAUCAACCCUGUUUUACCAUCCUUGGGAAUGACAGGGCAAUGUUGGGUGGUAAGUAGAAAGUAGUAGAAGAAGAAGUAGGUAUAGAUAUCAGGGGAAAGAAAAGAGGGAGGAUACCUGAAAGACACAAUGGGGUUUGGGGGAUUUUUUUUUUUUUUUUUGGGGAGAGGGGGGAAGGGGUUUGGGAAGUAACAGAACGGCAUAAUUUUCCAGAAAAUAUAAUGGUUCAGGUCCUCUUGGCAGAAUAACUGCAGGCCAGAACUAUUCAGAAAAUUAAUGUUGGUAACUCGUCAUUUGCAUUUCUAAUUACAACAUUCAUGCCAGAAAUGGAUAAAUUGAUUUCAUAAUUUCCACCACCUGUCCUUAAUAAUGUUAAUGAAAACAUUCCGUAUUGCAGUCAAGGAUUGUAUGGCAUUUAACUCAGACCCCCAUCCAUAGACAAGAAAUAAAGUCAGAUUUUUAAGGUGCAGAUACUUGCAGUAAUGUCAUUCUGUAUUUUAUCAGCAUACCUUUCAAUAUGCUGCAACAACCAAUGAUGUUAGAGAUGUGCUUCUUUCUAGCCAGGAAUCUAAUCCUGCUGUAUCCGUUGAAUUAUGAGAUCAACAGCUGCAUUUGCUGAUGAAAAUGCUCCAUGAAAGCUCUCCUGAUAGGAUAUAGAACCCAAUUCCUGAACCAUUUCCAACAAUAUUUCGCCCAGGUCAGUUUUUUUCUCCAUCAACGACUUGUAAAAUGAGUGGCUAGCAACCUCACUAAUUUUGAUGUUCGUUUCCUCGGGACAGUAUUCAUCAUCCAACCACUUAUGAAGAGUCACCCUUAGCCAUUCUGAUUCCUGCACUUCUAUGAUACACAACCAUUAACCAUAUUUCCAUAAAGGGCAGGAAACCAUGGAAUCACAAAUAGCAAUCCAUAAACAUUUGAAAUUGACGAUGGAUUGCAACUUCUCUCCAACAAGAGCUUCUAAUUAUUCAAAGCAAAAAUGAGAUUGCUUGGUAGCCAAGAGAUAAUUUAUAGAAUCGAGGACGGAUUAACCAGAAAGUCCACAAGUGUUACAGUUCUCUCUCGAUUCUAAAAGCUAGGGAUGCCAUGGUGACACAGAGAUUUUCUUUCUCUAUUUUUCUCCAAUCGAAAUAAGCACUAAAAAAUUGUUCUACAUGCAAAUUUGCAAUAAAGAUGUAUAUUUAGUUCGCAAGAUAUAUCGAACCUGCCAGUUCUAAAAUAAUGCUAAUACCUGAAAACAUUCAGACAUAUCAAUAGCAGACUAGCCAUCUAAUGAUAUGUAGAAACCAACCCAUGUUGUUACAAGUUUAAAUACAGAAACUUCGUGGCAACCAAUGUUCAAUGAAGAUCCGAAAGCUUUCCACACAAAUUGAUCAUUAAAAAACUUAAAAUGUAGAAGAGUGGCUUUCAUCACCAUUCUUUGUGCGCCAGAGUGAAAAUUGAUUAAAAAAAGAUCUUCUAAGCAUGAUUGAUCUUAAUGGAGAAGAAGAGAAGAAGAAGAGGAUAGCACAACAAAUUGUAGAGAGCAAAAGAAUCCACGAGGAGUAACAUUACAAUGGAUUUUUUUUUUUUUUUUUAAACAAAAGGCAUAGGAUAAGAAUCGCUACGCAUUGAGACGUGUCUUUGGUCAAUUUAGGAUAAAAGUGAAAGGCAAGCCACCACUAUCAACCGUCAUCUCCAGUCAUCCAGCUAAAGCAAACAAGAAAAGCAUUAUGGAAGCGCGUCUUAGGGAAGAGCUGGGCGAGACAGAGGCUUUGGACUAAACAAAGUAAAAAGAAGAAAACAAGGAAGAAACCGAUAAACUGCAUCAAGGGAUGAGCAAGUCAUGCAACCUAAUCCUCUAAUUUAUUCAAGUAAACGAGCCAUUUCCGUCAUUUCACGAUCAAGACGAAGAUGUGUUUUUAUUUUUUGCGUCUUUUGUGAUGAAAAGAGAAAUAACGAGCUAAAUUAUAAGCCCGCCAGAAGGCUCAAUCCAUCAUUGCUACACCCAAAUCAAAUUUUCACCCUCUCACUUAGCAGCAUACAUUCAAUCAUUUAAACAGGCGUACAAGGGAAAUAAACAGAAAAAAUGUCAUAAUUAUAAAUGAAAGAAAGAAUUGUAGGCGCUGUAUCAGUACAAUUAUGCAAUUAACUGAGUAGUAUCGCCAUAAUUAAUUAACCCAAUGCCCCACCCCAAGUAGACCCAGUAUGGGUACUUGAUUGAGUCACAAACCAUCCACAGACACCCAUAAAAGUGAACGAACAUUAAAUCUUGCGACGAAGAAUUAAAAAAGAAACAAAGAAAACAAAACAUAUUUACCUCCAAGGCUUGCGAAGGGUCUAACCAACUGCUUGGGACCCUAAGGUGUUGAACAGAAUCUUCUUCUGGGUCGCCUUCUAUAUUGUACUGGGUGUUUGAAGGAGAAAGAAGACUUGGAAAUCUGGAAAGUCGGAGCUCAUGUUUGUGAUGGAAUUUGGGUUUAAAAUAAAGAUUCAGGCUGCCCGAGUUUCCUAUUUUAUAAUGGCCUACAUACUUUAGCUCUGCCAUUAUCAGGGUUGGAUUUGAGAAUAACACCGAACCCAUUUCUCAGAACAAUCUGUGAUAACUUUUUUCCUCGGACCUUUUUUCGCGGGUUUUAGGACAGAGCAGAAAAACAAUUUGCUGCCGGGAGAAAAAGAGGAACACAGAAGAAACCGAGAAUUGCACGGACAUAUGGCGUGUCAAUUUCUUUGGACGAACGCUCCCGCGAUAAUUUUAGAUAAGGGAGCAAAGUCGAAUAAACUGGGAGCAUUUAUGAAGCUCGUUGGCGAGUAGCGACCGAUGGUGUUAGCUUAGUGGUGUCAGGUGAUCUUUGAAAUAGGGACGUAAUCGAGCCGAAUGGAACGCAAGUAUUGCUGCACUCAAAUUCAAACGAAUAACAGAAAUGGAGUUCGAACUCAAACUCGAAUUCGAAAAAUGGUUCGAAAACUCAAGAUCGGCUCAAUUAUACUCAUUUUCUUGCAAGUAUGAUCGAAGUCAAGUACUUGACUCAACUAAAAGAGUAAUUAUAGUAAUUUAUAUUACUUCCAAACCUAAAAGAGUAAAAUUGUAAUAACUAAAUAUAUAAUUUUAAUUAAUUUUUUUGUACUCGGUAAGGCUCGACGAGCCACCGAAAAAUCAAUCCUCGAACCGGACUUGAAUAAUUAUUGAAUUGCUCACGCUCAAUUCACACUCAAUUUUGACCUAGUGCGAGUCAAACUUUUGACCGAGUUGCUCGUGAAUAAUUUGAUUCGUUACAUCCCUACUUUGAAGUAAAAGGUGAAUAUCAAAUUUUUGUCAAAUUCCAAUGUCUCAAUAUUUCAAAUUUUUGUCAAAUUCCAAUGUUACAUAGUAAUUCCACAAGCAUUACGAACACUUCUAGGCCGUGAUGUUUGUGGAGUGACAAUUCCUCGUCUAGUUAAUAUAUAACGGGCUCAAGCCCUCCUUUGUACCGAAAAAAAAAAUUGAGAUGGCUCAUUGAAUCGAAAAACUUACCGAGUCACGGAUUAUUGAUUCAACCAUUAAGUUGGCCGUUAUCAAAGCAUAGCAUCAUAAAUAAACAAAAAAUAUAUUUUAUAUUACUACUUUUUAUCAUAUCUACAAUCUGUACAUCCCUCUAUGGAGGAUUAAACACAUGGUCAUCUAUACUAUAUAUAAAGCUUCAGGAUGAGAUUUGCAAUUAAUAUUGAGAUUAACAUUUAUUGUCAUUUUAUGAAUUAUUUUCAUCCUUAUCUAUACUAUAUAUAAAGCCUGACAAAUGGGUUUGGGAUUAACAUUUGAGUUAACAUUUAUUGUCAUUUUAUAAACUUCUUUUUUCAUCAUUAUAAAAACUACUUUUACUUUAAUCAUCUAUAACUAUUUUUACUUUUAACUUUUUAAGUAUGUUUUUUCAACAUAACUGCCCCUAAAUAUUAUAACUAUCAAUAUAAAAUUUAUUUUAUGAAAAAUGUUUAAAAGAUUAAAGUUUGUUUCAAUAAUAAAAAUUUUAUUUAAAAUAUAUAACAAUAAAUAAAAUAUAUUUUUUGAUUGCACACACAUUGAGUAUGCAUUAAGAACAGCAAGUAUAAUCCUUUUGCUAAUAAGUUUAUAAUAAAACAAACUAAAAGAAAAGUAAAAAUACAAAGCAAAAUAAAAGAAAAGCAAAGAAAAUUAAGAGCUGCAAGUAUAUCAUUGGGACGAGCUCGACACCAAGAAACAAGAAUCUUACUUUAGAAAAUUAUUAAAUUGCAAAGUAAAAUAAAAAUCAUACAUUAAGAAAUCAAAUUUGUGCACAUAGUUUAGGCACAAAACGGAAUUUUGUUGGAGGAAUUUGAGAGAUUAAUGGUGAUAUGAUGAAGAAAGGGAUGAUUAGUGUGAGAGGAAUUUGAAGGAAAUUCAGUAAAAAAUUAGAAAUAAAAAAAAGGAAUAACAUUGAAGUCUUGUGUCUGGACUUUAGUCAACUAUAAACUGGGCCUAUCUAAUUAGUCUCUAGGUUAUUUUUCUUUUUUUUUUCUUUUUGACCUUUUUUUUAACCAAUUGAAUGGACUGAAUUGGUUUAGCAAAAACUGUUUUGGUUGGUCAUGGGUCUCCCUGCAUAUGUUAUGUCAUGCUACAUACUUCUAAAGGAGUUAUGUAAGUGCAUUGGAAGAGAAAUGGCAAAGUUCCGGUGGGAAAGUAAUAGAGAGAAAAAAAAGAUGCAUUGGAUAAGGUGGGGGAAGCUGUCUGAAGCAAAACAGAAUAGGAGCUUGGGCUUUAUAGAUUUAGAAAACUUCAAUCAGGCACGUCUGGCUAAGCAGCUAUAAAGGAUACUUAAAAUGCCAAAUUUAUUGGUGAGUAAGAUUCUUAAAGUCAGAUAUUUCAAAGACGCUUCAAUCUGAAAAAUGAAAAGGAGAAGCACUAAUUCUUGGUGCUGAAGAAGCAUUUUAAGUGCAAGGCCUUUAUUGGAGAAAGGGGUGAGAAAGAGGAUGGGAGAUGAGAAAACAAUAGAUAUCUGGAAUGACAGAUGGGAUUCCAGGGGUGGCAAGAAGGAAGGUGAGCACACAAAGAAACCCAUAACUGGGAUUGUGUAAGGUUAGUGAACUGAUUAAAGAUGGCAGUUGGAAUGAUGAGCUACUGAAAAGUGUUUGCUGAGGAGGAUAGGGAGAGUAUUAUGAAGAUCCCUUUAAGUCUUAAGGAAACAAAUGACAGACUAUUAUGGACAUAUUCUGCCUCUGGGGAAUACAUAGUUAAGUAUGGAUAUAAAGUUGCAAAGGGAAGCAUGGCAGGAAGAAAUAAGAAGGAGAACAAUGAGGAAUCAGGAAGUAGGAAUGAGGUUAAUGCUAAAAGAUGGAAGGUAUUAUGGAAUCUAAAAAUGAAGCAAAUACUAAAACAUUUUUAUUUGGAAAUGCAUGAAAGGCAUCCUACCAGUCAAUGAAGGAAUCAAGGCUAGAAGCAUGAAAGGCAAUCCAUUAAGUAAAUGUUGUGGUAUAUACUCAGAAUCGAUAGAACAUAUGCUGUUUCUAUGCAGUUAUGCAGAGGCAAUUUGGAAAGUUGCGCCAAUACAAUGGGAUGGGUUGGAUAACUUGAAAGGAAAUUUUUGGCUUUCGUGGUCUGAGUUGGUGGAAGCAACUGCACGGGAGAAGGGGUAAGAGCAUAUUACAUUCACAGUCAACCUGUUAUGACAAAUUUGGAAGGCUAGGAAUGAGACAAAUUUCAAUGGGAAGGGGAGAUGUCCAUUGACAGUAGUGAGUAGAGCACUGGCAGAUUAGAAGGAAUACCAAAAAGCUCAAGAAAAAGAAAAGAAGGAAGAGAUGGAGUUAUAACAUAUGGAGGGGAAACCAGGAAGAUGGCAUGCUCCUGACAAAUGAUGGAUUAAGUUGAAUACAGAAGCAGCACUGAACCAACAGACAAAAAAAGCAGGCUGGAGAAUUGUUGCUAGAGAUUGGAAGGGAAAGCUGCUUCUACCUGGGCAUGUCCCUUCUUCACGUGUACUGAACCAAAACUUGAGGAAGAACUGGCAAUCCGAACUGCAAUGGUUAAAGCAGCACUGGAAGGAUGGGAAAGAAUCAUCAUAGAGUCCGACUGCAAGGCCAUAAUAGACAAGAUAGAAAAGGACAUGGAAGAUGUGGUUAUCUCCAUAGUUCUACCGGAUAUAAAGCUGCUAAAAUAUAAUUUUGAGGAAUGUUGUUUCUCCUUUGUUAGAAGGGAGAUCAACUCUGUUAGUCAUAGCUUAGCAAGAUUUGUUCUAAAUUUAAAAGUAGUUGCAGAUUGGAAAGUUAGUUUUCCAGUUUGGUUGCUUGAGACUGUUCAAACAGACGUGGAGGAGCAAUUGCUUUAGGUUAUGUAAUCUGUUGUUUGUUAAUGAAAUGUUGCCGUUUUGACCCAAAAAAAAAAAAAUCUCACUCAAUUUGAGGCAUAACUUGACUAGAAUAGCUACUUGAUCAAUAGUUCAAUCAUUUCAACUGGGCGGUCUAGGUAGGUUUUAAAACCAUAUUCACGUAUAUAAAAGAAAAAAAAAUAUUAUUCUCACCUACUCACAAUUUCUAUGAACUCACUUGAAUAUUUUAAAUCAUUGAAUUUUGCCAUUAAUCAAUGCUUAUUUUAUGUGAUUGCUUCUUUUUUUUUUCCUAACCACUCUAACCUAAUGAACUUGAGAAUAAGAGGAGCUUGGAAGGAUUAGAGAGGUGAUUAGUUUGCAUUUUGAAUUCGGAAUUAUAAACUUCGCAUCUUAACUUUGGUUUUUACCACCCAUAAGUUUUGGUUUAAAAGUGAAAGAUUUUUCAUUCAACUAAAGAAUUAAUCAAUUUGAAUCUUGAGGUAAAAAUGUUAAAUAAUAGAGAGCAAAAUCUACUACUUUCAUUUUCACUAAAUGAUUCUUAUAGCAGUUCACCAAAUAUUGAGUAUGAGCAUUAUUAACUUUUAAAUAUAUUUUUGCUCUUUAUACCCAUUUAUGAAACACUCUAAAUUUUAUAGUGCUUUGAUUAUUUUUUUUAAAGAUGGAGGAAUAAUAAGGGAUUAAAAUGAACUAUAUUGUAAAUGGGUUAAUUAUUUUCUUUUGAAUUUUUAAAAAACAAUUAAAACAAAUAAUUUUAUUUAAGAUUACUUUCUAUCAUAAAGUAGGUGAAAAUUAUUGAAAAGAUAGCCAACGUUUAGGGGCCAUUUUGUUUAAAUCUCACUAUCACCAUCAGUAUUGAUAUGAUUGAUUAGUCAACAAAAUUUGAUUUUGAUGAAAACCUUUGGCAUGCGUGGUGAUAAUAUUUCUCCGGAAUAACAUAUUAUUCUAAAGAAAACUCUUACCAUAUUAUUCUCGAGAAAUUUUUUACCAUAUUAUUCUCGAGAAAAUUUUCAUUUAUUUUUCUAUCCAAACACACGAUUGUUAGAUUAUAUUAUGACAAAAUUAUUCCAAAGAAGGAAAAAUAUAUAUUAAAAAAAGAAAAUUUUGAGUUUCUCCCUAUUCCCACUAUAAAAACAAGGCUCACACUUGGAUAGAUCCGAUUUUUAAAGAAUCAAUGGUUUAGAUUAUACCACACCAACUCAAUAAAAAGUGUGAUACAAUCUGAACUAUUGAAUUUUUGAAAACUGGAUCUACCCAAGAUUUUGACUAAAAACAAUGACCGAGGCGAUGCCACAAUUAUGGGUGAACUUGGACGAGUUGCUGGGGGGCAGGCGGGCUGGCUGGCUUAGGUCCAGAGACAAGAUUAUAAUAAAAGUGCUACCUUUAGACUUGACAAAGCCUAACUCAUGGGAUGGAAACCCUUCAACCGACCCAAAUAAUUAAGGUUGAGUUGGCUGUAGCUUGGCUGGUUCGACCCAAAGAUAAAGGGUAGAGCGUAUUACGGUACUGCUUUGGGUACUGCUUUGGGAAUAUAAAGGGUAGAGCGUAUAAUUUUGCGUUGGGUAGAGUUUGGCUCUAGAUUUUAGACUCGAUUAGAAUAUGAGCUGAGUUUGGGUCUUUAUAGGCUAAAUUCGAUUAAAGUCUGACCCAUUAUUUUUCAGACACACACACACAUAUAUAUAUGUGCACCCUAAUAUAUAGAACUAUAAAUGUAUUAUUUUUAAAUAUGUAAUGUAUAAAUAAAGUAUUAGUAAUUAGCAGAAAGAGUAUUAGAUUCAUUAAAUAAAUUAUUAGUGGUCUGUUCAUGUUUUAUUAUUAUUUUUCAUGUAUUUUAAAAUAAUUAGAUAUAAUUAUCAUUGAAAAAUUUUUGAUAUACGUACUUUUAAUGAAUUUUUUACUAGUUUAUGUGUAGUUUUAAUGUUCUAGAUUUCAAAUUAAUUUUACCACCUAAUAGUUACAAUAAUUAUAUUAAAAAAAUUAGGAAAUAAUAAGCGAAUUUGGACCGAGUCCGAAUUAGACACGAGGCCCGAAUGCAUUGCGAGUCAGAUAUGAACUACAUAUAUAUUGUAACAUGAUACUCAUGAAUUUUUUUUUUUCCCAAGGACAACGAAACUCAUGGUUUAAGGUCCGGCACACAUACCCUGAUUGACAACCUGCAAAUAAUUCGUCGUUUUGGGAAAAAUCCAUUAGAAGGAGAAGGCGUCGAUUUAAAAUGGGAGAAGCCGAUAUCAGAUAUUUAUACUGGAUUUACAUAAGCAGAUAAGGAGCUAACCAGCAACACGUUUGUUACCUUUAGUAGUUAGUAGAAAGGCACGACUGAAGUCGCCUGCGUUCUCUCCCUCUCCGGGGCCAAGUUUCUACUUUCUACUACACUGAUAUAAAUGGCGACCGCGGCCGCAACCUGUUGGUUCACAGCGCUCACCUCCGCCACCGGCCCUUCCCGUUACUCCCUAACCUCACAACGUUUUUUCGCCACCACUUUAAGACGGCACUCUCAUUUAAUAGCUCCCAAUUCCGAAACUAAUCAAAAUGCCGAAACUCAUGCUGCUAUCAAUCCAAAUCGCAAGAGCAGAACCUCCAAGAAACCACUCCCUUCCUCUCCGCGUAAAUCCAGCGCACAGGUAUUUUGCAAAACCUAACCUCAUGCGCCACCAACUAUUUGUUUUACUUGUUUAAGAGAUUGUUUCCCUACUAGAAAAUCUUGAAUGUGUCGCUAGGUGUGUGAUUGUUUUUAAAAAAUGAGUAGUAACUAACUCAAACACUCAAUGUUGUUGCUAAUUCUGGUGAUUUUUGCACCAAUUUUUUCCCCCUGUCCUUACCUCUCAUCGUCAAUCACCAUUUAGGUGGCAUUUGGCCAAAACCAAUUCGAGUUGUAUUCCCGAAAUAAGUUUCAGCUUCAUCUCACUACAGGGAAAUUGGACAUCCUGAGAAAAAGAAAAGAAAUACAGUUUAGAUUUCUAUUCGAAUUUUUAGCUAAUACCAGGUCCCUUCACUAAUAUGAUGUGUACGUCGUUAAGUUCAGAAGGAAGCCAUUGGUCAGAGGUUUCCUGGGACGUCAAAAGAUGAGGUACAUUUCUCGCGUGCUGAUGCCAGGAGUAGUAAAACAGUACGAUCCCAACGGAAUCAACCUGUUGCCUUCAAAUCCUUUGGUCUGCAGAAAAAAGGAAACAAAGGAGGCAAUAAUGUGUUUGAUAUAAAAGAGCAACAGGUAAUUGGGGCAGCACAUUACGAAAUUUUCCUUUUAGAGUGCUAAUUAUAUAAUAAGCUGAAACAGGGAAUUUUCAAAAUUUUCUUACCUCUUUCUCCAGGUUGAAACAGGUAAUUUUCAAGAUGCAGCUUUUCUUAAUGCUGUUGUAAAGGUACAUGUCUACACUUGUGAACUUGGCAUGUAGAUUAGUUUGUUAAUUGCUGAUCGUCUCUUUCAUUAAAAUAUCUUUCAGGUGUACUGCACACACACUGCACCAGAUUAUUCGCUUCCUUGGCAGAAACAGAGACAAUAUACGAGUACUGGAAGGCAGGUUUACUGUCUCCAUCAUCCAUUGAUUUUCUUGGUAGUAGAUGUGGAAGAAUCUUCUGUAUUUAUCAGUUUAUCAUUUAGGUGACUUAGCUCAAAAACCCCCUGCUAGUUUUUUUAUAUGUUUGUUCUUCAACUUCUAUACACAGUGCCUUCAUGAUCGGUGAUGGGAAGCUUUUGACCAAUGCACAUUGUGUUGAACAUGACACACAGGUAAUUUUUGCUGAACAUGACACCAAGAUUAUCCCUCCCCUCCCCUUCAUGCUGCAUGAUUUUCCUAGUAAUAUUGCUUUUGAAGAUUGCAACUGAUACCAAGUUUAUACAUCGACAUUAUUCUUCUUAUUUCUGUGUCAUUAAUUCUUCAACCAUGGCCAAGAACCAUCAUUCUAAGUGUUAUAUUGAGAAACUGUCUUAUAAAUCCAUUUAACAAUCUUUGGACUUUUGCAAAUUUAUAACAAUGGCAAAAAGUGGAAUACCACUCGAGCCUUUCUAUGUUUUGAUGUGCGAGUUGUUAGUUACAUUCGUUAAUUCGUAUUUGCAUUAGCUUAUCAACCUGACAAAUGUGCUAUAUGGGGUGAUAAUUUUUCUGUCUUUUGGUCACAGGUCAAGGUGAAGAGAAGGGGAGAUGAUACCAAAUAUGUGGCUAAGGUAUAAUCCAUUGAGCAAUAUAGGCAAUACCCUUUAAUAGUUUAGUAGAGUCCAUUACUUAUCAUGGUCUCUGUGAAGCAUGUCACAUUAUGCUUAACAUACUGGUUUAGUUGAUUUUGGAAAUUUAGAAGUUGGUAAGUUUUGUUUCAGUCCUUGUUGAUGUGAUCUUGAAACUGAAAUCUGGUCUGUCUAAGGACUUCUUGAGAAUCAAAAUGAUAGAGCAUUUAUACUUUUGUUGGUGAAGAACAAUAUGAACUGCAGUUUAUUAAUGGUAACUCAAAACUUUUGGCCUGGAAAUGGGUAGUUAUUCUUUUGGUUGUGUUUUAAUUUUUUAGGGGGUAGGCCCUAGAAAGGGUAUCAGUCUGAGAUUGUUAUUGAAAGGAUUGUGGAUUUUGAUGUUGGCACUGGUUUCAUGAUAUAAUCCACAGGUUUUGGCUAGGGGAAUAGAGUGUGAUAUGGCUUUACUCUCGGUAGAGAGCACAGAAUUCUGGGAAGGAGCAGAGCCACUUCAUUUUGGACGCUUGCCUCGGCUGCAGGUGCUUUUUCUUUAUAUGUUUAUCUUGGCAAACAGUAGUUUUAGCUGUGAGUUCUAUAUGUUUGUAUUUUAUAUGUCCAGUGUAGUGUCUAUUCUUUUUGCGCUAGUUUUGUGGUUGUGAAUCAGACUUGAGGUUGAACUAGUGUAGAAUUCAUAUCCUUUAAGUAACUUUAUGUAUAGGCUUGUGCUAUUUUUGGAAUACUUUUCUGCCAAGUUUUGGCAAACCUGGCAAAUAAAGUUAGGUGCACAUUGUUAACCUGUUGUCUCAUCUGGUUUAAAGUAAUAUAUUUCCAAUGCUUACCUGACCAAUUUGUUGACAGGAAAAAUAGUUAAUGUAGAAUUGGGUCCUUUUCUUAGAAUUUAAUUAAUUUAUUUUUGUUAUUUCCUUGUAAUUUGAUCAUCUGGUUUGUGUCACACAAUUUACUUAAUUGAGAGUUGUAGAGAUGGAAGUAAUCUCGUGAAAAUUGUGAAUUUUCUAAUAUCAGAAGGUGUACUGAAUUUGAGGCUUCCAAGUACAGGUUCACUUAAAACAUAUGCUUCGUUAUUGUAAAAGAGCACCUUAUGACUUUUGUUGGUACUUAUCUAAGUGAUUCUCUAGGGUUCCUAACUGCAUAGUUUCUAGUAAAAUUGAUUUAGUUUUGAGCUUUGAUUAAAUAUUUGAAGUAUUGGCCAAGAAGAUGUGUUUUCAGAAUGCAGCAAACUGUAGAAGAGGAUUUUGAUUUUGACAAAAUUGAUCUGCUCUCAGUUCAUCAAUAAAUACUGCCAAGAUAUUUUCAUUUUCACUUUUUUUGCAUUAAUAUUCUUUUUUAAUCAUCAGUACUAUAUGGUAUCUUUAUAAAUCUCCAGUGGUUCUUAUGCAACUACCUGUUUUAUCUGUGUGCAUGCCGCUGGAGCUACUAUGUAGAAAUACUUGUACUCAAAUGGGAAAGCUACUUGGCUAUCCUGGUCUUUUAACUUGAAGGCACAAGAUAUAGAUUAACUAUUUCUGUUGAAUGGCAGGAUCCAGUGACCGUCGUAGGAUAUCCCCUUGGAGGCGAUACCAUUUCUGUCACAAAGGGAGUGGUAUCAAGAAUUGAGGUUCGUUUAAUUGGAGUCUGAGUAUAUGGUUGGCUAAAGAUUUCCGCAUGCCAUCAAAUGAAAAUUUGAUGUCUACUUCGUCAUUAGUUGUGGUUGAAUAUUCUUCCAGUAUAUCAUGAAAUGAAAUCAAGUGUCCUUUGUCAUCACUUAUAGUUGAUGUUCCUAUUUUUACCUUAGGCAUGCAAAAGAAGCUUCAUUAACUGGCUGGAAUGUAUUGUUACCUUUCUAAUUAGUCUAUACCAUCAGGUAACCUCAUAUGCUCAUGGAUCAUCCGACUUGCUGGGCAUCCAAAUUGAUGCAGCUAUUAAUCCUGGUAAUUGAGCUUCUAUUAUGCUAUCACCGUGCAUGAGGAGCCUGAUAAUAGAUAAAAGUUGACCAUCCUUGUCUCCAAAUUAUCUUUCCGUGUUUAAUGCUACAACUCACUUGUAGCAAAUGCAUAUCUAGUCAUGUGUUAAAAUGCCAUGUAUUUGAUUAAGAUUGUUUAUUCCAGGUAAUAGUGGUGGUCCUGCAUUUAAUGAUCAGGGAGAGUGCGUCGGUGUGGCAUUUCAGGUAAUUUUUGCCAAGAGUCUAGCAGAAGUGAAGUAUAGGCUUGAGAUUCAGCUAUAAUGGUUUACUAACUUCUGCUACCUGCCCACCCUGUCCAGGGCAUAUCUACCUCUCUUCACCUAGUUAUGGACUAGGUCUUGAGUUGGCAGCAGUGUCAAAUUCAUACCAUUUCCAAAAUUGUUAAAACUUUUCCCCUUUUUUUUCUGGUUUAGAAUUGAGUAUUCACCGGAUCUUUGAUAUUCUCUGUUUGAUUCCUCAUGAUUAUCUGUUUUACCAUGUCUAAUGUGUCCUUACAAGGAAUUUAUUUUAGGUUUUCAGAUCUGAUGAAGUUGAGAAUAUUGGUUAUGUGAUUCCAACAACAGUUGUGUCGCAUUUUCUCGAGGACUAUGAGAGAAAUGGGAAGUACACUGGUAAGUGUAUAUUUUAAUCAGUUAUUUUGGUGUCAUCAGUGUUUGUAUAAUGUCUAGUAAACGCACACAGACACACAUCUCUUCUGUUAUUUAACUUAUUUGAAGGGUGUGAGAAGAAAUGGAUGAACUGUAAUGAUGAUCUACCAUGCUUUUGUGGUUGAAAUAUUGAGUGCUCACAAUGUUUUUUAGAUAUGUGAUGCUUUCCUCCUUGUCCUUGUUAUCAGGAGAGCAAUAAGCGUGUACCAUAAGAUGGUUACCUUAUUUAUCUUCUCCUACUCAUUCUCCUUUUUCAUUUUAGUUUUGUUUUCUUCUCAUUUUGGGCACAGAUGCAUGGUAACAUGCCAACACCAUUUUGCUGGCACAAAUUGGUUUGAUAUGGAGUUUUCUGUCGGUAAAUAGCCUCUACUUUAGGUAGGGGUUUGCAAGCCUUAGAGUACUUGCAUACUAGUUUCUCCAAUUAGUGCAUUUCUGUUGUCUUCCACUGCUGUCUGGAAACUUGUUUUCAAUUAUACUGUAACAUAAGAAUAUUGGAGUAAGCUUCUCUUCAUGAAUCUUCAGGUUUCCCUUGCCUUGGAGUGUUGUUGCAAAAGUUGGAGAAUCCUGCUCUUCGUGCAUGCUUAGGAGUGCCGUCAAAUGAGGUUUUUCUCUCUCUAAUUGCUCUCUAAUUGGACUAAAAGGAUAGUUGAAUCUGCUAGUUCAAAUGCUUGUAGCCUCACAGUUCUUAAUGGACAUCGCCAUAAUUAUACUUGUGAAUGUGUCAAAAUAUAUGCCUACUCCUUGGAUAUGCAUGUUCAGCGAACAUGGGUUUGCAUUUUCAUUCUUCUAUGACUAUUAAUUGUUUCUUGGAAAGGACUUUAGGGAGUUUUAUGGAUAUUGGGAAAGAUUACCUUGUGGAGAGCAGAAAUUUGCAUUGGGGUUGGUCAUGGUUGCUCCACGACACUGAAGAAGGUUGAAACAGGAAAUUAUCCAUUAUAGGGAAUUUAAGUUAUAUUUAUUGAACAACAGUAAGCAUUUAUUGUUUCUUUAGAUAACUGGAAAUACACCUAAUACAGAGUGAGUGCAUGUAUUUCUUGUUGACUUUACCAUUUCCGAUGUGGUAGUGUGUCUUGUUUGAUGUGUGAAUGUUACAAGUAAGAAGUGGUAGUUUUCUGUGAUUGAGAGGAAAAACGACCCAGCCCCCAAGAAGUUGUUGUCUGCGGGAGAGCAUUUUAAAGUGCAGAAUAGUUAGGAGAGAUUUGCCACAUCCUCCUUGAAAGGGGGAAGGAAUUUUCAUCUUGAAGCCCAAAUUGAGUAAAAUGUGAACUGAACAAUUCCCUGGUUCACUUGUGAUUGGCAAAAAUUCUAUCAUUUGUUUAUUGAUUUUACAAAAACUGUUGCUUUGAUGCUUAUUUUCAUACUAUUAUGUUUGUGGUUGUGAGGACUUAUGGUCUGAAGUAAUUUAAGAUUGUUUUCUGGAUCACAUGGGACAUGCCAUGUAGUUUUCUCUGCCUAUUUAACAAAUUAAUAGCAAUCCAAUUGUUCAUUUUCUGCUUAUUUUGCCAGACUUUUGCAUUGUCUCUUGCAAUUUUCCCACAAUGGUUUUUCUUCAGGGUGUGCUUGUGCGCAGAGUUGAGCCAACUUCUGAUGCCAGUAAUGUUUUGAAGGAGGUAUACCUGUAAUUUAUAGUUUCAAGGCCAAGAAAGCUCACAUUUGAUUUGUUUUUCCCUCCAGCAUAUACCAAAGUUUUGCAUCUUGCUCAAGUAUGGCACCAUAUUGAUAGCUAGCAUCUCAGCAUGGUCGAGUUAGUGUUGAUUAUAUUUCUGAUUAAUGCUCUUUCUUUUUCUUAUGCUUUUUUAUGAGGAAUUGUAAUUGAAAUUGUAUAUCUACUGCUUUAAGCUUCCUAAAUUCAGUUUGGAUCUGAAAUUAAUAUCCAUAGUUGGUACAGUUGUGCAAUUUAAUGGAACUUGCCUUUGUCCACAAUUUUUCUCGUAAGGUCCAUUGUUUACACAGAUAAUUGGUGAAAUAGUUUGUUACUCCAUCUCUUAUCAGGUUUACAUUCAAGUUGUUGUUGGCCAUUGAUUAUCAUCACAGCCAAGCACGUUGACUGUUUUUGAAUCAUUAAUCACCCUAAAGCUGCAAGUCCUUGUCCCAAAAUUAAAUUUACUAUUAGUAACUAUACCUUCCUUAACUUUAUCAUUUUCAAUCAGUUUUGACUUUUAAAUUCUUAAUGGUAUUACAAUUGGGUGACAGUGUAAUUCUGCUACGUGAGUACAAGUUACUUUCCCCUUAUUGUGAUUGGAUAUGAUUAGCUAUUUUGGUGUUGGACUCAUGGUUUGCCUAGAUAUGUUUGAAAUGACACUUCCAGUUUUCCGGUAUAUCUGAAUGAGAUGUGUCUCCUUUUUCCUAACUAUAGUUACAUUAUUAAGGAACAUACGGUGUUGGUUCUUUUAUUUGUGAGGGUUAAUACGGUUAGUGAUUUUUGGAUAGUAUGCCAGUGUUGUUUGCUGAAAGGCAUAGAGUCUUGACAUACUUCCCUAUUGGCUUUUCCUUUUCCUCUCAUUUACUGAUGUUUCCUAAUUGUGCAACAUUUUUGGGAUCCUUACUUUCUUCAGCUUUAAGGUAAUAGUACGCUGAAAUUCUUGAAAUUAAGUUACACUUGUACCCUGAUUUCCUUUCAGGGGGAUGUGAUUGUAAGCUUUGAUGGUAUUCGUGUUGGUUGUGAGGGGACAGUGCCAUUCCGAUCGACUGAACGCAUUGCAUUUCGCUACCUUAUUAGUCAAAAGUAAAUAUCUUAAUUUUCUGCAAUGAUGUUAAAUUAAGUUGAAUUUCAAUAUUUCUUGGUGUCAAGAUCUUUAUUUAAUUGAAUUCUGGUAGUGAGUGGCCUAUGAAGGUGAGGUUUGUCAUUUAAAAGCAUGUUGGGACUGUCAAUAUAGUUACAGUUUUGCAUCCAUAUACACAUCCUGAUCACUCUGUAAUUUUCCAUGAUACUUUUUAGAAUAUCUUUUUUAUUGUCAGUUCAAUAUCCAAGUAAUGGUUUUCGUUUACUGAUACUGGUUGAAGUUUAAGUACUGAAGCAUAUCAUUGUUUACCAUUGUCCUUUGGGUGAGCUAAGGAAUUUUUUCACUGGACUCCUGCUUUGAUUUAAUUUUUGUCUUCAGGCUUUGAUAUGCAGGAAUAUCAGUUGAUGAAUGUUUUCAAAUUUACAUUGCUGUUACUUCGCAAAUUUAACUCAAAUAAUAGAGUUAUCAUUGACAUGGUAUUCUAUCUGGCUCACUUCGAUGAGCAUCUACUGAAAUAUGAUUAGUUACAAGCACUAAAGGUUUAUAUAAAAUCGUCGAUACUUUUAAAUGGUUUUUUCCUGUCCUAGGUUCAUCGAUUACUGCUUCUUUAUUUAUAUGAGAAGCAAAAUUUCUCGCUUUCAGGAUGCUUUGUUUCAGAUUUGCAGGGGAUGUGGCAGAGCUUGGUAUUGUUAGGGCAGGGUCAUUCACAAAACUUAAAGCAGUUUUAAAUCCUCGUGUGCAUUUGGUAUGUAACAAAAUUUAAAAGAUGUGAUGUUAGUAUUUAAGUUUGAAAAUUUGACUCGAGAUCCCUACAGUAAAUCUAGAUCUAUUAUGCUUUUUAUUCUAGGUUCCAUAUCACAUUGAAGGAGGUCAGCCUUCAUAUCUAAUAGUUGCUGGAUUGGUUUUCACACCACUAUCUGACCCACUGAUAGAGUACGUCUUGUUAUUAACCUGUGCCUUUACCUUUUUUUGACUGGUAUUAUCCAGUCUCCAAAGAAAUAGUUCGUUAGGAAUUAUUUUCAUUACAGCAAAUUUACCUCUAUUAUUUGUGGCAGGGAAGAAUGCGAAGACCAAAUUGGGGUAGGUUUUGUUUAUUCAAUAUUUGCUUUAUUAUACUUCAGUUAAGCACUUCUAUUCAGCUAUUUAUUUGAUGGUUGCCUGCCUCUCUUCUCUGGGUAGUUGAAAUUAUUGACGAAGGCACGGUACUCGUUGGCUAAGUUCAAAGGGGAACAAAUUGUGAUCCUUUCACAGGUUGGUGCAUAACAUUCACCAAGUGUGAAGUCAAAUUGAUUUGUAGAUGCAGCUUUUGACGAAAAAAGUUUACACUCCUUUUUGUCUCUGGUUCUACUAUACGAGAGGAUAUCAUCUCCUAUCUAUUAAUAUGACUUAAGUGGAAACUGUAAUUCAACUUUGUUUCUCUUAGCUCACAGCCAUGGUCCAAUUGGAUAUUGCUAAAUGAUGAUUAUGAUGAAAGUAAAUAAAGGAAAAAAAAUCUGGAGAUGCUUGGUUAUAGUAUGAUAUAUGAAAUCCCUUAUUGGUCAUUUCAUCCUUUUUGUUUACAUGUAAUUCACUUACAGGUUUUAGCAAAUGAAGUAAAUAUUGGAUAUGAAGAUAUGAGUAACGAGCAGGCAAGCAUUUUCUUGAUGACUCUGGUUCUUGCCCUACCAUGUUACAUGGUUGGGAAUAAUUUCCAAAUUUGAAAGGUGUAAAUUUUUUCCUUAAUUUAGAAGCAAUUGCAGGUUUUGAAGUUAAAUGGAACGCGCAUAAAAAACAUUCACCACCUUGCUUAUCUUGUUGAUUGUAAGUAUUGGUUUGUACUUUAUCAAUUUUCUUGAUCUGUCUACUUUGAUUUGCUCUUUAUAUUACUAUUUUUCUCAGCUUGCAAGGAUAAAUAUUUGGUCUUUGAGUUUGAAGACAAUUAUUUGGCUGUUUUGGAAAGAGAGGCUGCUUGUUCUGCUUCUGCGCGCAUUCUCAAAGAUUAUGGGAUUCCGGCUGAAAGAUCUCCAGAUCUUUCAGAGUCAUAUGUUGACUCCCUUGGGGUAAACCAUCCAGUUGAACAACAUGAAUUUGGAGAUGGUCCAGUUUCAAAUUCAGAAUUUGGUUUUGAAGGUCUUCUUUGGGUGUGAAGAGAGCCGGAGGGAAUUCGAUUUGGUGAUAUCUAUAGCCAUUCAAAAGAAGUGGGAUGAAAAAUUGAGAAUAGCUUCUGCUAACGUUUCUGGUCACUAUGGAGUAGUAACACACCGCUGCUAGACAUUUUCUACAUUGGUUGGGCUUUGGGUCUCGGUAAUUGUCGAAUAUCUUGGAGGACAUGAGAAAAUCUGUUUUCUUACAAGCCAAAAAUUAACGUUUAUCUGAUUCUUCUCUUUGUAAUUAUGAAAGGAAAUAAUAGGCUACACGUCUUUAUGACUUUCACAGGAGAUGUAAUCUUUUCUGGACUUGCAAUAAUAGGCUAAUUCUGUUAUUAAGCUGUAACGCCUAGUGCAAAAACUAUUACGACAUAAAUUAUGAAAACGUUGUAAAAGAAAAAAAAAGACCCAGAUGGAGUGCCUUGGUGGAUGUGGAUAUGUAACGGUGUUAACGUGCAAAUUUUUCCCCGAAAUUUUUGUAUCUGCAGAGUCUGGAAUGGCUGGACUUCUCGUGUGUCGUACUCCUUAAUACGGUCCGCCGGGCUCCUUCACGAAAAAGAUUGUAGUCCAGGACUCGAGGUUUUCAUCAGACAAAAGAAUGUUCGGUAACAAUAAAAAAAGAUUGAAGUCCGGUACUAGAUGUUUGCGCGGGACAAAGAGAGGAGAGGAGAGGUCAUAACGGGAAAAAGCCGUAUAAUAAGUACCAUCAACAAACCCCUUUUUUUUUUUAUGAAAGAUCUUUUAGACCAUAAUAAUAAUAAUUAACUCUCUUAUUAUCUGUGAAUCUUGAUGUGUUUCCCAAAACCAUUUAACAGUUUCACUCUCUGUAAACCUUAGUAACAAAUUUUGCAACAUGUUGUAAUUAUAAAUCUGGAUAUCGAGCAGUCACAUCUGUAGAGCCCGUUUGAUAUCAUUGGCUAUGCUUUGGGCAUCCAGAGCAGCUCCAUACAAUCCUCUUCUGGCCAAACCAGCGCAGUACAAUCCCUUGGUACCCUUCCAGUUGUUAGGGAAGGCAGGUUUUGCAAGUCCAUCGUCAGACAGGAGAUAAUCAGCCCCCUGAGGCCAGUAGCCAAACACACACACACAAAAAAAAGAAGAAGAAAGUAAUCAGUAAUUGGAUGGAGCAAUCAGGGUUUUACUGUAAAUUGUUCUCCAGUGCGUACGCAUUCCUGGCCAGGUGGAGGUGGGGCAAAUAUUAUGAAGGUGUCAAGUUGAAGGAAGACGGGCAAGAAGUUCAAAAAGCAGCUGUGCAAGGCGAAUUAUAAUUGUACCUGGAGCCACUUAUUCGUCGAUCUCUUAAAGCCAGUUGCAAAAAUAAUAGCAUCAAAUGGGUAAGACUUGCCAUCCUCAAACACCACAUCAUUGCCCCCAAGACUUGCUACUGCCGGCACUACCUGUUUAUUUAUUUAUUUUAUGGUAUCAAAAUUAUAAGAUUUUACAACAUGCAUGCUUCAUACCGAAGGAAUUUCGAACAAUAUGUACUCGUAUCAUCACUCUACAUAAGUCGACAUGUAUCAGAACUGGAAAAUGGAAAUCAUACACGCAAAGCAAGAUAGCUACGUGCCCACUGAUCCACAUCAAUCCUGCAAAUAUGAUUAAAAUAGCAGUAACCCUUUAUUUUUUUUUUUUCCCCUUUUCUAUAGAACCCCCUUUUUUUCCCCUUGAAAAGAUAGCAUAUGAAAUCAAAAUAAUUAGAAGCAGAAUUAAUUUGCAUGGUCCACGCGCUAUCAGUUCAUCUAACUAUUGUACCGCGGUAAAAACGGUUCAAUUAAUGAAAGUGUAUUAAAAUCAUCGCGCAAUACUGCACCUGAAUCUCGCCGGAUUUGAUUUUCUGAUAGGUCCCAAUGUCAAUGACGGGGUAUUUGCCAUACUUGACUUUCAUGGUGAAGGGACCUUCCUCUGGCCUUUUGAUUCCGUACCUGGACAAGUCUCCUCCGUACCACAGCUUGCUCAGCAUCAACAACAGCGAGUCAACCGCAUUCAGAGAAACAUAUUUCAACAAAACCAGUCCCAUGUUUGCCAUUCCCCUUGACAGAAUGUGAAGCUGCAUGUGUCAUAACCAACCCAUUCAAGGAAUCCAAUAAUUCUCACCAGGGUAACUAAAUAUACUAUGUUGUCACUCCCAAAUGAAUAAAAUGAAAAAAAAAAAAAAGGAAAAGAGAGAGAGAGAGAGUCGCCUACAGGGCUACGGACGGCGAUGGAGGUCUUCGCACCGUAGUUUGAUAGAUCAAAUGCAAUUUCCAUACCAGAAUUUCCAGACCCCACAACCAAAACAUUCUUGUUUUCAUAGGACUUGCCGUUUUUAUAUCGGGUGCUGUGGAUGACCUCGCCCAGGUAAGUGUUGAGACCUUCAAGCUGCGGGAUGAAUGCAUCGGUGGUUUCUCCCGUGGCCACCACCAAGCACUUGCUGGAAUACUCCUCCAUCUGCUCGGGAUCGGAAGAACCCAAAUUCCUCGCCUUGACAAUCCAUUCUUCGGCGGCUUCAUCGUACUGCGCCGACUCCACCGAUCUUUGGUACAAGGGACAAAUGUUGAAAUGGGAGACGUAGUCGUCUAGAUAACGCAAGAACUGGUCUCUGGACACGUAAGUCGGGUAGGUGGUCGGGAACGGCUUGAGAGGAAGUUGACAGAACUGUUUAGCCAGGUGAAGAUGAAGGCGGUCGUAGGAAUAUUUCUUCCACAAGGAAGCAAAACAAUCUUCUCUCUCAAGGACUAUGUUUGGAAUGGAAAG